AAAUGGGAUCGCAUUUUAUUCAAAGAAACUUUUUAGAUCUUUCUUUUUUGCUUCGGCAUUUUAGGAGAUCUUGUUACUUUGAGUAAAUUAGAGUGUUCAAAGCAAACAGAUUAUAGCAUCUUUAUGCGUUUGAAUACUACAGCAUGGAAUAACAAAAUUGAACAAGUCAGAAUUUUGUUCUUUUUUCUUAUUUUGGCUUAGUUACGAUUAAUAGGAGUAGCUUGGGGGCAUUUGUAUUCAGAUGUCAGAGGUGAAAUUCUUAGAUUUUCUGGAGACAAACAACUGCGAAAGCAUUUGCCUAAAAUACUUCCAUUAAUCAAGAACGAAAGUUAAGGGAGUGAAGACGAUCAGAUACCGUCGUAAUCUUAACCAUAAACUAUGCCGACUAGGCUUUGGAUGAAAAGAGUUUAAAAAUAAGGGGCCCAUCCCCGAGGAGUUUAACCUCUUAUAUUGCAGACUAU
Molecule: ribosomal RNA, 461 nt
Filed under: Plasmodium inui
Lineage: Eukaryota; Apicomplexa; Aconoidasida; Haemosporida; Plasmodiidae
Description: bacterial SSU rRNA
Rfam family: Eukaryotic small subunit ribosomal RNA
Source: RNAcentral